This 28-nucleotide non-coding RNA is filed under the name Rattus norvegicus (Norway rat). Lineage: Eukaryota; Metazoa; Chordata; Mammalia; Rodentia; Muridae. The record is from RNAcentral.
UGCCGCACAUUGUUUCCUAGAGGAGAGA